RNAcentral lists this ribosomal RNA (370 nucleotides) under Boletus smithii. Its description in RNAcentral is "LSU rRNA". It matches the Rfam family "Bacterial large subunit ribosomal RNA", at positions 1726 to 2103 of the family's 2925-position model. The record is from RNAcentral. Lineage: Eukaryota; Fungi; Basidiomycota; Agaricomycetes; Boletales; Boletaceae.
CCAUGAAUUUUAGUAAGUUAAUAACUCCUAUUAAUUUAUUUAUAUGGUGGCACAAAAUCGGAAGCCCCGACUGUUUACUAAAAACACAACUAUCUGCAAUUAUGAAAAUAAUAGUAUAGGUAGUGAGAUUUGCCCAAUGCCAGAUUAAUAAGUAAUAAUAAUGGGUAACUGUUUCUUUACAAAAAAUUGGUUAAUAGCGGUCUUAACUAUGAGGAUCCUAAGGUAGCAAAAUAAAUUGGCCAUUAAAUGUGGUCCAGUAUCAAUAAUUUAACGAUGGCUUCACUGUCUCUACAACUUGCUCAGUGAAAUUGAAUUACCCGUGCAGAUGCGGGUUACCUCAAAGAGGACGGGAAGACCCUAUGCAGCUUCU